Molecule: ribosomal RNA, 258 nt
Filed under: uncultured bacterium
Lineage: Bacteria
Description: partial 16S ribosomal RNA
Rfam family: Bacterial small subunit ribosomal RNA
Source: RNAcentral
GAUCCUGGCUCAGAUUGAACGCUGGCGGCAGGCCUAACACAUGCAAGUCGAACGGUAACAGGAAGAAGCUUGCUUCUUUGCUGACGAGUGGCGGACGGGUGAGUAAUGUCUGGGAAACUGCCUGAUGGAGGGGGAUAACUACUGGAAACGGUAGCUAAUACCGCAUAACGUCGCAAGACCAAAGAGGGGGACCUUCGGGCCGUCUUUGGCCCAUCGGAUGUGCCCAGAUGGGAUUAGCUAGUAGGUGGGGUUAACGGG